RNAcentral lists this ribosomal RNA (465 nucleotides) under Vreelandella stevensii. RNAcentral describes it as "partial 16S ribosomal RNA". It matches the Rfam family "Bacterial small subunit ribosomal RNA", at positions 338 to 795 of the family's 1533-position model. Lineage: Bacteria; Pseudomonadati; Pseudomonadota; Gammaproteobacteria; Oceanospirillales; Halomonadaceae. The record is from RNAcentral.
CCUACGGGAGUCAGCAGUGGGGAAUAUUGGACAAUGGGCGAAAGCCUGAUCCAGCCAUGCCGCGUGUGUGAAGAAGGCCUUCGGGUUGUAAAGCACUUUCAGUGGGGAAGAAAGCCUUGGGGCUAAUACCCUCGAGGAAGGACAUCACCCACAGAAGAAGCACCGGCUAACUCCGUGCCAGCAGCCGCGGUAAUACGGAGGGUGCGAGCGUUAAUCGGAAUUACUGGGCGUAAAGCGCGCGUAGGCGGUCUGAUAAGCCGGUUGUGAAAGCCCCGGGCUCAACCUGGGAACGGCAUCCGGAACUGUCAGGCUAGAGUGCAGGAGAGGAAGGUAGAAUUCCCGGUGUAGCGGUGACAUGCGUAGAGAUCGGGAGGAAUACCAGUGGCGAAGGCGGCCUUCUGGACUGACACUGACGCUGAGGUGCGAAAGCGUGGGUAGCAAACAGGAUUAGAUACCCCAGUAGUC